Non-coding RNA from Microcebus murinus (gray mouse lemur), 8604 nucleotides. The record is from RefSeq and is a predicted model, not a curated record. NCBI's taxonomy places the organism in Eukaryota, Metazoa, Chordata, Mammalia, Primates, Cheirogaleidae.
CCGGACGCUCCCAUAGGAGCCAAUCAGGAAGGAGAGAGACGGAAUUGGCUGCUGCGCCCUCUUCUGAGGCAUGCUGGGAGCCUGGAGGACUAGCGAGGAGGAGUUGAGAGAACGGAGCGGACGCCAUGGCGACCAACAUCGAGCAGAUUUUUAGGUCUUUCGUGGUCAGUAAAUUCCGGGAAAUUCAACAGGAACUUUCCAGUGGAAGGAAUGAAGGCCAGCUGAAUGGUGAAACAAAUACACCCAUUGAAGGAAACCCGGCGGGUGAUGCAGCUGCCUCUGCCAGGAGCCUGCCAAAUGAAGAAAUAGUACAGAAGAUAGAGGAAGUACUUUCUGGGGUCUUAGAUACCGAACUACGAUAUAAGCCAGACUUGAAAGAGGCCUCCAGAAAAAGUAGAUGUGUAUCUGUACAAACAGAUCCUACUGAUGAAAUUCCCACCAAAAAGUCAAAGAAACAUAAAAAGCACAAAAACAAAAAGAAGAAAAAGAAGAAAGAAAAGGAAAAAAAAUAUAAAAGACAGCCAGAAGAAUCUGAGUCAAAGCCGAAAUCUCAUCAUGAUGGGAACAUAGAUUUAGAAUCUGAUUCCUUUUUAAAGUUUGAUUCUGAACCUUCAGCAAUGGCACUGGAGCAUACUACAAGAGCAUUUGUUCUAUCUGAGACCAGUGAAUCCUCUGCAAUUGUGCUAGAACCUCCUAUAGUAUCAAUGGAGGUGUCAGAGCCUCACAUCACAGAAACUCUGAAGCCAGAUGCAAAAACUGCAGAACUGUCAGUUGCAUCUACAUCAGUAAUCACAGAGCAGUCUGUGACAGUAAUGCUGGAACCACCCAUGACAAAGAUUCUGGAUUCCUUUGCAGCAGCAUCAGUGCCUACUACGACAGCGGUGCUGAAGUCAUCUGAGCCAGUUGUAACCAUGUCGGAGUAUCAGAUGAAGUCUGUGCUGAAAUCUUUGGAGGGCAUAUCUCCAGAGCCAUCAAAGAUCAUGUUGGUAGAGCCCCCAGUAGUAAAAGUGUUAGAGCCAUCAGAAACCCUUGUGGUAUCAUCAGAGACACCUACUGAGGUGUACCCUGAGCCAAGCACAUCAACAACAAUGGAUUUUCCAGAGUCAUCUGCAACUGAAGCGCAAAGAUUGCCAGAGCAGCCUGAAGAAGUACCAUCGGAGAUUGCAGAUUCAUCCAUGACAAGGCCGCAGGAGUUGAUGGAGCUGCCUAAGACCACAGCGUUGGAGCUGCCGGAGUCGUCGGUGGCCUCAGCGAUGGAGUUGCCGGGGCCACCUGCGACCUCCAUGCCGGAGUUGCAGGGGCCCUCAGUGACUCCAGUGCUGGAGUUACCUGGGCCCUCUGCUACCCCGGUGCCAGAGUUGCCAGGGCCCCUUUCUACCCCAGUGCCUGAGUUGCCAGGGCCCCCUGCGACAGCAGUGCCUGAGUUGCUGGGGCCCUCUGUGACACCAGUGCAACAGUUGUCACAGGAAAUGCCAGGGCUUCCAGCACCAUCCAUGGGGUUGGAGCCACCACAGGAGGUGCCAGAGCCACCUGUGAUGGCACAGGAGUUGCCAGGGCUGCCUGUGGUUACAGCGGCAGUAGAGUUGCCAGAGCAGCCUGCGGUGACAGUAGCAAUGGAGUUGACCGAACAACCUGUGACGACGACAGAGUUGGAGCAGCCUGUGGGGAUGACAACGGUGGAACAUCCUGGGCAUCCUGAGGUGACAACGGCAGCAGGGUUGCUGGGGCAGUCUGAGGCAACGAUGGUGCUGGAGUUGCCAGGACAGCCAGUGGCAACGACAGCGCUGGAGUUGCCGGGGCAGCCUUCGGUGACUGGGGUGCCAGAGUUGCCAGGGCUGCCUUCGGCAACUAGGGCACUGGAGUUGUCAGGGCAGCCUGUGGCAACUGGGGCACUAGAGUUGCCUGGGCAACUCAUGGCAACUGGGGCACUGGAGUUCUCGGGGCAGUCUGGGGCAGCUGGAGCACUGGAGCUUUUGGGGCAGCCUCUGGCAACAGGGGUGCUGGAGUUGCCGGGGCAGCCUGGGGCGCCAGAGUUGCCUGGGCAACCUGUGGCAACUGUGGCGCUGGAGAUCUCUGUUCAGUCUGUGGUGACAACAUCGGAGCUGUCAACGAUGACCGUGUCGCAGUCCCUGGAGGUGCCCUCGACGACAGCGCUGGAAUCCUAUAAUACGGUAGCACAGGAGCUGCCUACUACAUUAGUGGGGGAGACUUCUGUAACAGUAGGAGUGGAUCCCUUGAUGGCCCAAGAGUCCCAUAUGUUAGCUUCUAACACCAUGGAGACCCAUAUGUUAGCAUCCAACACUUUGGACUCCCAGAUGCUAGCGUCCAACACCAUGGACUCCCAGAUGCUAGCGUCCAACACCAUGGACUCCCAGAUGUUAGCCUCUAGCACCAUCGACUCCCAGAUGUUAGCAACUAGCACCAUGGACUCCCAGAUGUUAGCCACUAGCUCCAUGGACUCCCAGAUGUUAGCAACUAGCACUAUGGACUCCCAGAUGUUAGCAACCAGUUCCAUGGACUCCCAGAUGUUAGCAACCAGUUCCAUGGACUCCCAGAUGUUAGCAACCAGCUCCAUGGACUCCCAGAUGUUAGCAACCAGCUCCAUGGACUCCCAGAUGUUAGCAACCAGCUCUAUGGACUCCCAGAUGUUAGCAACCAGCUCUAUGGACUCCCAGAUGUUAGCAACCAGCACCAUGGAUUCUCAGAUGUUAGCAUCUGGCACUAUGGACUCUCAAAUGUUAGCUUCCGGCACCAUGGAUGCUCAGAUGUUAGCAUCUGGUACCAUGGAUGCCCAGAUGUUAGCGUCUAGUACCCAAGAUUCUGCUAUGUUGGGUUCAAAAUCUCCUGAUCCCUAUAGAUUAGCUCAGGAUCCUUACAGGUUAGCUCAGGAUCCUUAUAGGUUGGGUCAUGAUCCCUAUAGAUUAGGACAUGAUGCUUACAGGUUAGGACAGGACCCCUAUAGAUUAGGCCAUGAUCCCUACAGACUAACUCCUGAUCCCUAUAGGAUGUCACCUAGACCCUAUAGGAUAGCACCCAGGUCCUAUAGAAUAGCACCCAGGCCAUACAGGUUAGCACCUAGACCCCUGAUGUUAGCAUCUAGACGUUCUAUGAUGAUGUCCUAUGCUGCAGAACGUUCCAUGAUGUCAUCUUAUGAACGCUCUAUGAUGUCUUAUGAGCGGUCUAUGAUGUCCCCUAUGGCUGAGCGCUCUAUGAUGUCAGCGUAUGAGCGCUCUAUGAUGUCAGCCUAUGAGCGCUCUAUGAUGUCCCCUAUGGCCGAGCGCUCUAUGAUGUCAGCUUAUGAACGCUCUAUGAUGUCAGCUUAUGAGCGCUCCAUGAUGUCCCCAAUGGCUGAUCGAUCGAUGAUGUCCAUGGGUGCCGACCGGUCUAUGAUGUCGUCAUACUCUGCUGCUGACCGGUCUAUGAUGUCAUCGUACUCUGCAGCUGACCGAUCUAUGAUGUCAUCUUAUACUGCUGAUCGUUCAAUGAUGUCUAUGGCUGCUGAUUCUUACACUGAUUCUUACACUGAUACAUACACGGAGGCAUAUAUGGUGCCACCUUUGCCUCCUGAAGAGCCCCCAACAAUGCCGCCAUUGCCACCUGAGGAGCCACCAAUGACACCACCGUUGCCUCCUGAGGAGCCACCAGAGGGUCCAGGAUUAUCCACUGAGCAGUCAGCAUUAACAGCUGAGAAUACUUGGCCUACAGAGGUGCCAUCUUUACCUCCUGAAGAGUCUGUAUCGCAGGCCGAACCUGCUGUGAGUCAAAGUGAGAUUUCAGAGUCUUCGGCAGUGCCUGCUGAUUAUUCAUUGUCAGCAUCAGAUCCUUCAGUGUUAGCAGCAUCAGAGGCUGCCAUGACUAUUGCAGAACCACUGCUAGAGCCAGAAACUUCAGUUACGUCAACACCCGUAGAGUCGACGGUAGUAGCAGAAGAACAUGAAAUUAUUCCAGAGAGACCAGUGACUUGUGUGGUGUCUGAAACUCCCAUAAUGUCAGCUGAACCAACUAUGUUAAUAUCAGAGCCUCCUAUUAUGUCAGAGACAGCAGAAACAUUUGAUUCCAUGAGAGCCUCAGGGCAUAUAGCCUCAGAGGUACCUAUGUCCUUGCUGGAGCCAGCAGUAACUAUUCCAGAACCAGCAGAGAGCAGCAUCCUGGAGCCACCAACUAUGGCUGUUCCAGAGCCUCCAGCCAUGGCUGUCCCAGAGCCUCCAGCCAUGGCUGUCCCAGAGCCUCCAGCCAUGGCCGUCCCAGAGCCUCCAGCCAUGACUAUCCCGGAGCCUCUGCCUAUGGCUGUCUCGGAGCCUCCUGCUAUGGCCAUCCCUGAGCCUCUGGUUGUGGCUGAGCCAGAGCAUGUUACCAUUCCUGUGCCAGUUGUUUCUGUCCUGGAACCUACUGUGCCUGUCCUGGAACCAGUAGUGUCAGUCCUUCAACCUGCUGUGAUUGUUUCAGAACCAUCUGUUUCUGUCCAGGAAUCCACUGUGACAAUUUCAGAGCCUGCUGUAACUGUCUCAGAGCAGACUCAAGUACUAUCAACUGAAAUGGUUAUGGAGUCUACACCAAUGAUACUGGAGUCUAAUGUUGUGUCCUCAUCACAUGUUAUGAAAGGAAUGACUCUACUAUCUGGUGAUCAAAAUCUUGGUCCAGAGAGUGGCAUGCAGGAGAUUCCGUUGCAUUCAGGUGAGGAGCCACAUGAAGGACACCUGAAAAGUGACUCUUACGAAAAUGAUUGUGGAAUGAAUAUAGACCUUAAUAUAAAUAAUCAUUUGGUUGGUAAAGAAGUGGAACAUAAUACAAUGUGUGCUGCUAGCACUGGUUCUGUUGGUGAAAUUGGUGAAGACAAAAUUUUACCCAUCGAUGAGACUAAACAAUGCCAAGUAUUGGAUACUUACCCUGGUGUCAGUGAAGCAGAUGUAGGAGAAACUCUAUCUUCUACUGGUCCUCUUGCUCUGGAACCUGAUGCAGUGGGAACUAGUAAGACUAUUGAAUUUAUCACAGCAUCUACUCUCAGUUCAGUUAAUAAAUAUGAUGUUGAAGUAUCUUUAGCUACUCAAGAUACUGAACAUGACAUGGUAAUUUCAACGAGCCCCAGUGGUGGUAGUGAAGCUGAUAUAGAAGGACCUUUGCCUGCUAAAGACAUUCAUCUUGAUUUACCAUCUAGUAAUAACCUUGUUUGUAAGGAUACAGAAGAACCAUUAACCCUAAAAGAGAGUGACCAGACUUCUGCAGUAGCUCUCAGUCCUAAAGAUACUAGUGGAGUUGAAAAAGAAGUACCUCUCCCUACUAAAGAGAUAUCUGAUUCAGCAUUUUCUGCCAACAUUGAGGAUAUUAAUGAAGCAGAUUUAGUAAGACCAUUGCUUCCUAAGGACAUGGAACGUCUUACAAGCCUUAGAGCUAGUAUUGAAGGACCUUUGCUAGCAAGUGAAGUUGAACGUGACAAAUCUGCUGCCAGUCCAGUUGUAAUUAGUAUACCAGAAAGAGCUUCAGAGUCAUCUUCUGAGGAAAAAGAUGAUUAUGAAAUUUUUGUAAAAGUUAAGGACACACAUGAAAAAAGCAAGAAAAAUAAGAACCGUGACAAAGGUGAGAAAGAGAAGAAAAGAGACUCUUCAUUAAGAUCUCGAAGUAAGCGUUCCAAGUCUUCUGAACACAAAUCACGCAAGCGAACCAGUGAAUCUCGUUCUAGGGCAAGGAAGAGAUCAUCUAAGUCCAAGUCUCAUCGCUCUCAAACACGUUCACGCUCACGUUCAAGACGUAGGAGGAGGAGCAGCAGGUCAAGAUCAAAGUCUAGAGGAAGACGAUCUGUAUCAAAAGAGAAGCGUAAAAGAUCUCCAAAGCACAGAUCCAAGUCUAGGGAAAGAAAAAGAAAAAGAUCAAGCUCCAGGGAUAACCGAAAAACAGUUAGAGCUCGAAGUCGCACCCCAAGUCGUCGGAGUCGGAGUCACACUCCGAGUCGUCGAAGAAGGUCUAGAUCUGUGGGUAGAAGAAGGAGCUUUAGCAUUUCUCCCAGCCGCAGGAGCCGCACCCCAAGCCGCAGGAGCCGCACCCCAAGCCGCAGGAGCCGCACCCCAAGCCGCAGGAGCCGCACCCCAAGCCGCAGGAGCCGCACCCCAAGCCGCAGGAGCCGUACCCCAAGCCGCAGGAGCCGAACCCCAAGCCGCAGGAGCCGCACCCCCAGCCGUCGAAGAAGAUCAAGGUCUGUGGGAAGACGACGAAGCUUCAGUAUAUCCCCAGUCAGAUUGAGGCGAUCAAGAACACCGUUGAGAAGAAGGUUCAGUAGAUCUCCUAUCCGUCGUAAAAGAUCUAGGUCUUCUGAACGAGGCAGAUCACCCAAACGUCUGACAGAUUUGGAUAAGGCUCAGUUACUUGAAAUAGCCAAAGCUAAUGCAGCUGCCAUGUGUGCUAAGGCUGGUGUUCCUUUACCGCCAAACCUAAAGCCUGCACCUCCACCUACAAUAGAAGAGAAAGUUGCUAAAAAGUCAGGAGGAGCUACUAUAGAAGAACUAACUGAGAAAUGCAAACAGAUCGCACAGAGUAAAGAAGAUGAUGAUGUAAUAGUGAAUAAACCUCAUGUUUCGGAUGAAGAGGAAGAAGAACCUCCUUUUUAUCAUCAUCCCUUUAAACUCAAUGAACCCAAACCCAUUUUUUUCAAUCUGAAUAUUGCUGCAGCAAAGCCAACUCCACCAAAAAGCCAGGUAACAUUAACAAAAGAAUUUCCCGUGUCGUCUGGAUCUCAACAUCGGAAAAAAGAAGCCGACAGUGUUUAUGGAGAGUGGGUUCCUGUAGAAAAAAAUGGUGAAGAAAACAAAGAUGAUGAUAAUGUUUUCAGCAGCAAUUUGCCCUCAGAGCCUGUGGACAUCUCUACAGCAAUGAGUGAACGGGCACUUGCUCAGAAAAGACUCAGUGAGAAUGCAUUUGACCUUGAAGCCAUGAGCAUGUUAAACCGAGCUCAGGAAAGGAUUGAUGCCUGGGCUCAGCUGAACUCUAUUCCUGGCCAGUUCACAGGAAGUACAGGAGUACAGGUUCUAACACAAGAACAGUUGGCUAAUACUGGUGCCCAAGCCUGGAUUAAAAAGGGCCAAAUCCUUGUAGCUGUCUUCUUGCCCCGGUCAGUGCCAGCCGUACUAUUCACAACACUGCUGCUACCGAGGCCUAGGAUCAGUUCUUAAGAGCAGCCCCGGUAACUGGAGGAAUGGGAGCCGUUUUGAUGAGAAAAAUGGGCUGGAGAGAAGGAGAAGGAUUAGGAAAAAACAAAGAAGGAAAUAAGGAACCCAUCUUAGUUGAUUUUAAGACAGAUCGGAAAGGUCUUGUUGCAGUAGGAGAAAGAGCACAAAAGAGGUCUGGGAACUUCUCUGCAGCAAUGAAAGAUCUGUCAGGCAAGCAUCCUGUGUCUGCCUUGAUGGAAAUCUGUAAUAAGAGAAGGUGGCAACCACCAGAAUUUCUCUUGGUCCAUGAUAGUGGCCCUGAUCAUCGCAAACAUUUUCUCUUUAGGGUAUUGAGAAAUGGAAGCCCUUACCAGCCCAAUUGUAUGUUUUUCUUGAAUAGGUAUUGAUAAAUGGAAGCGCUUACCAGCCCAGCUUUGCCAGCCCUAAUAAGAAGCAUGCUAAAGCCACAGCAGCUACUGUGGUUCUUCAAGCAAUGGGCCUUGUACCAAAGGACCUCAUGGCUAAUGCCACUUGCUUCAGGAGUGCCUCACGUAGAUAGAUUGAGGUUUUAUAAUAAUCAUUUCAGAUAAUUUUACUCUGCAUCACAAUGUAUUUCCUCUUUAAUGUUGUAAAUAUUUGGCAAUUUAAGACAUUGUGUAAAAAGCAAUCUGUACAAACAUCUCCAGGCUUUGAUUUUUGUACCAUGGAAAUUGUAUUUAACCAUACAGGGUUUUGGUAUGUUUAUAUUGUUUACCUUAGUGAUGUAUUUGUUUAAGUGGCUAACAUCCAAACGAUUGUUUGAAGGCAUCAGUAAUCUUCAGUGUGGAAUGUUAAAUAACGCUUUUAUACUGUAUUUUGUACUAUGAUGUAACUCCCCUUCCUUAUGGCUAGGCUGCUGUAACACUUGCCUGUAAUCAGAGAAGGGCUGUGCACCUUGUACUAUUUCACAAUGGGUUCUGCUGGACAGAUACUGGGCCAGUGUUAAUUGGGGUAAUCAAGCAAGAUCUGUUCCACAGGGCUAAUGCCACCAUCUCCCCUUAAAAUUUUGUAGAGGUUAUAAAAAGAAAGUGGUAUGUUGUGUGAUGAUCAGCACUAAGUCCUGCAUUCCUGUUAAAGCCACUUGGGUCAUAAGGGAGUCAAAAAUGAAGUCUGACUAGAAUUCUACUGCAGAGGCCAAGUACAUUUAGUAUGGCAUUGAGUUGUGAUAUAGUUUUACUUUGAUGUGCAUUUUGAAUUUCAGCUACACCUAGAUAGACGUAAAAUGAUAAUUAAAAUGCUGUAACCAACUUAUCUAAUAAAAUUGGCAACCAGCCACUAUUUUGUUGACUAUGAGAGAAAGUUUAAGUUUAUGUUAAUUUUUAGGGUCUUAUAGAAUAUUUCAUGUGUAUUACAGUGGUAUUCAUAUGCUAUGUCUCUAAACUUUAUUUUCAAAAGCUUAAGGCCCAAAUACAAACUUCUCUGGAAUAAA